This 1299-nucleotide ribosomal RNA is filed under the name Salmonella enterica subsp. enterica serovar Typhimurium. Its description in RNAcentral is "partial 23S ribosomal RNA". It matches the Rfam family "Bacterial large subunit ribosomal RNA", at positions 430 to 1547 of the family's 2925-position model. Lineage: Bacteria; Pseudomonadati; Pseudomonadota; Gammaproteobacteria; Enterobacterales; Enterobacteriaceae. The record is from RNAcentral.
UAUCCUGUCUGAAUAUGGGGGGACCAUCCUCCAAGGCUAAAUACUCCUGACUGACCGAUAGUGAACCAGUACCGUGAGGGAAAGGCGAAAAGAACCCCGGCGAGGGGAGUGAAAAAGAACCUGAAACCGUGUACGUACAAGCAGUGGGAGCCCCACCACUAAGCCAGUGGUGAACUCCACAUCCGCAUCCUUUGCUGAGGAUACGGUUAACGGAGCGAAAGCGACGUUCAACCGCAAAACAAGCAGAGGGGGCUUAGUGGUGGGGUGACUGCGUACCUUUUGUAUAAUGGGUCAGCGACUUAUAUUCUGUAGCAAGGUUAACCGAAUAGGGGAGCCGGAGGGAAACCGAGUCUUAAUUGGGCGUUAAGUUGCAGGGUAUAGACCCGAAACCCGGUGAUCUAGCCAUGGGCAGGUUGAAGGUUGGGUAACACUAACUGGAGGACCGAACCGACUAAUGUUGAAAAAUUAGCGGAUGACCUGUGGCUGGGGGUGAAAGGCCAAUCAAACCGGGAGAUAGCUGGUUCUCCCCGAAAGCUAUUUAGGUAGCGCCUCGUGAAUUCAUCUCCGGGGGUAGAGCACUGUUUCGGCUAGGGGGCCAUCCCGGCUUACCAACCCGAUGCAAACUGCGAAUACCGGAGAAUGUUAUCACGGGAGACACACGGCGGGUGCUAACGUCCGUCGUGAAGAGGGAAACAACCCAGACCGCCAGCUAAGGUCCCAAAGUCAUGGUUAAGUGGGAAACGAUGUGGGAAGGCCCAGACAGCCAGGAUGUUGGCUUAGAAGCAGCCAUCAUUUAAAGAAAGCGUAAUAGCUCACUGGUCGAGUCGGCCUGCGCGGAAGAUGUAACGGGGCUAAACCAUGCACCGAAGCUGCGGCAGCGAACGUAUCACCCAAGACAACUUUACGGAGUUGACGAUUGACGGAGCGAAGCGACGUCAAAGCGUUCAUUAAAGUCGAGUUGGCUUAGGGAUACGUUCGUUGGGUAGGGGAGCGUUCUGUAAGCCUGUGAAGGUGUGUCGUGAGGCAUGCUGGAGGUAUCAGAAGUGCGAAUGCUGACAUAAGUAACGAUAAAGCGGGUGAAAAGCCCGCUCGCCGGAAGACCAAGGGUUCCUGUCCAACGUUAAUCGGGGCAGGGUGAGUCGACCCCUAAGGCGAGGCCGAAAGGCGUAGUCGAUGGGAAACGGGUUAAUAUUCCCGUACUUGGUGUUACUGCGAAGGGGGGACGGAGAAGGCUAUGUUGGCCGGGCGACGGUUGUCCCGGUUUAAGCGUGUAGGUGUGUGUUCCAGGUAAAUCCGGUU